RNAcentral lists this ribosomal RNA (452 nucleotides) under uncultured bacterium. Its description in RNAcentral is "bacterial SSU rRNA". It matches the Rfam family "Bacterial small subunit ribosomal RNA", at positions 340 to 786 of the family's 1533-position model. The record is from RNAcentral.
UACGGAAGGCAGCAGUGGGGAAUAUUGCACAAUGGGCGCAAGCCUGAUGCAGCCAUGCCGCGUGUAUGAAGAAGGCCUUCGGGUUGUAAAGUACUUUCAGUCGUGAGGAAGGUGUUAAGGUUAAUAACCUUAGCAAUUGACGUUAGCGACAGAAGAAGCACCGGCUAACUCCGUGCCAGCAGCCGCGGUAAUACGGAGGGUGCGAGCGUUAAUCGGAAUUACUGGGCGUAAAGGGCACGCAGGCGGUUAAUUAAGUUGGAUGUGAAAUCCCCGGGCUUAACCUGGGAAUGGCAUUCAAGACUGGUUAGCUAGAGUCUUGUAGAGGGGGUAGAAUUCCAUGUGUAGCGGUGAAAUGCGUAGAGAUGUGGAGGAAUACCGGUGGCGAAGGCGGCCCCUGGACAAAGACUGACGCUCAUGUGCGAAAGCGUGGGGAGCAAACAGGAUUAGAUACC